GCGAAAAGCUAGAAACUCCAAGGACUUGGCGGUGCUUCAAUCAACCUAGAGGAGCCUGUCCUAUAAUCGAUACUCCACGUUUUACCUUACCCCCUCUAGAAAUCAGCCUAUAUACCGCCGUCGGAAGCCUACCUUAUGAAAGAAACAAAGUAGGCAAAAUAGUUAACAACUAGUACGUCAGGUCAAGGUGUAGCAUAUGAGGAGGCAGAGAUGGGCUACAUUUUUAAAAAUAACACACGAAUAACAUGCUGAAAUACAUGUCUGAAGGCGGAUUUAGUAGUAAAAUAGACAAGAAAAGCUAUUUUAAACCUGCUCUGAAGCGCGC
RNAcentral lists this ribosomal RNA (325 nucleotides) under Sphenomorphus maculatus. Its description in RNAcentral is "partial 12S ribosomal RNA". It matches the Rfam family "Bacterial small subunit ribosomal RNA", at positions 886 to 1384 of the family's 1533-position model. Lineage: Eukaryota; Metazoa; Chordata; Lepidosauria; Squamata; Scincidae. The record is from RNAcentral.